GAUGAACGCUGGCGGCGUGCCUAAUACAUGCAAGUCGAGCGAACAGACGAGGAGCUUGCUCCUCUGACGUUAGCGGCGGACGGGUGAGUAACACGUGGAUAACCUACCUAUAAGACUGGGAUAACUUCGGGAAACCGGAGCUAAUACCGGAUAAUAUAUUGAACCGCAUGGUUCAAUAGUGAAAGACGGUUUUGCUGUCACUUAUAGAUGGAUCCGCGCCGCAUUAGCUAGUUGGUAAGGUAACGACUUACCAAGGCAACGAUGCGUAGCCGACCUGAGAGGGUGAUCGGCCACACUGGAACUGAGACACGGUCCAGACUCCUACGGGAGGCAGCAGUAGGGAAUCUCCCGCAAUGGGCGAAGGCCUGACGGAGCAACGCCGCGUGAGUGAUGAAGGUCUUCGGAUCGUAAAACUCUGUUAUUAGGGAAGAACAAAUGUGUAAGUAACUAUGCACGUCUUGACGGUACCUAAUCAGAAAGCCACGGCUAACUACGUG
Molecule: ribosomal RNA, 497 nt
Filed under: uncultured bacterium
Lineage: Bacteria
Description: partial 16S ribosomal RNA
Rfam family: Bacterial small subunit ribosomal RNA
Source: RNAcentral